RNAcentral lists this long non-coding RNA (220 nucleotides) under Brassica rapa (field mustard). RNAcentral's name for it is "long non-coding RNA (BRAP_LNC006578)". Lineage: Eukaryota; Viridiplantae; Streptophyta; Magnoliopsida; Brassicales; Brassicaceae. The record is from RNAcentral.
UAAUUAAUUCAAUGAAAAAUAAAAAAUAAAAAAAAAUAAUUAAUUCAAUGGCAUUGUGUUGUAAAUAACUUGUAAGUUUUAGUUUUAUUUUUUAUUUGUAUUUCAGUUUUAAUAAAUUAGAUAUUUUUGAGGUGACUGAUUGGUCGAAGUGGUGGAAUUAAUAGUUUGUUUCAAACUCCAUUUUCCAGCUUUUGUAAAAAAUUAUUAAUUAAACUUGAUA